RNAcentral lists this ribosomal RNA (472 nucleotides) under uncultured bacterium. Its description in RNAcentral is "bacterial SSU rRNA". It matches the Rfam family "Bacterial small subunit ribosomal RNA", at positions 335 to 799 of the family's 1533-position model. The record is from RNAcentral.
ACUCCUACGGGAGGCAGCAGUAGGGAAUCUUCCACAAUGGCGCAAGCCUGAUGGAGCAACACCGCGUGAGUGAAGAAGGGUUUCGGUCGUCGUAAAGCUCUGUUGUUAAAGAAGAACACGUAUGAGAGUAACUGUUCAUACGUUGACGGUAUUUAACCAGAAAGUCACGGCUAACUACGUGCCAGCAGCCGCGGUAAUACGUAGGUGGCAAGCGUUAUCCGGAUUUAUUGGGCGUAAAGAGAGUGCAGGCGGUUUUCUAAGUCUGAUGUGAAAGCCUUCGGCUUAACCGGAGAAGUGCAUCGGAAACUGGAUAACUUGAGUGCAGAAGAGGGUAGUGGAACUCCAUGUGUAGCGGUGGAAUGCGUAGAUAUAUGGAAGAACACCAGUGGCGAAGGCGGCUACCUGGUCUGCAACUGACGCUGAGACUGAAAGCAUGGGUAGCGAACAGGAUUAGAUACCCUGGUAGAUAGCG